This 543-nucleotide long non-coding RNA is filed under the name Mytilus galloprovincialis (Mediterranean mussel). Lineage: Eukaryota; Metazoa; Mollusca; Bivalvia; Mytilida; Mytilidae. The record is from RNAcentral.
AACAACUAUAAAAUUCAUAUUGAGUUGACAAAAAAUAAUGUUGCAGUCACAUAAGAUAUGAAUCUAUAAAAACAAUUAUAAACGUAUUGUGAAAUCAACAUUAUCGUACAAAACAACACAAACUCUUACAAUUGAAACGGAAGUAGCUAGUUACAAAUCAUUCAAUAAAACAAAUGUAUCACAAUAUAAGUCACCCAGCAAUGAUUAUGCCUUAUAGCUAGGUUGGUUUUCCAUGGAUCCACGUUGUUAUCUCCAUUAAUACAGAGAACACCAUUAAAAUCGCCAAGUUGCACGGAACCAGUUCCUUCUAAAUAUUUCGACAUAGAAUCUUUAUACUGAUCAAUAAAUCGGUGGUUUCGGUAGCACCCUCCUCCCAAUGACUGCUCUACGAAAAAACAUCCUCUGAUGUGAAAGUAAAUUGGUAAUUCUAUAAUAGAAAUAGAAUAUUGUAGUAUUGUACAUAUGAAUGUAUGUUCAGGUUCAGGAAUAUCCCCACCAAUUGUCAUAAUGGUUCCAUGUAAGUAAAAGUACAUGGUAUAAUUG